Molecule: ribosomal RNA, 253 nt
Filed under: uncultured bacterium
Lineage: Bacteria
Description: partial 16S ribosomal RNA
Rfam family: Bacterial small subunit ribosomal RNA
Source: RNAcentral
UACAGAGGUCCCAAGCGUUGUUCGGAUUUACUGGGCGUAAAGGGUGCGUAGGCGGUUAGAUAAGUCUGACGUGAAAUCUCCGGGCCUAACCCGGAAACUGCGUUGGAUACUAUUUGACUAGAGGAAUGGAGGGGAGACUGGAAUACUUGGUGUAGCAGUGAAAUGCGUAGAUAUCAAGUGGAACACCAGUGGCGAAGGCGAGUCUCUGGACAUUUCCUGACGCUGAGGCACGAAAGCCAGGGGAGCAAACGGG